GCUUAGAGUUUGAUCCUGGCUCAGGAUGAACGCUGGCGGUAUGCUUAACACAUGCAAGUCGAACGGAGUACUUCGGUACUUAGUGGCGGACGGGUGAGUAACGCGUGAGAAUCUGCCUUCAGGAUGGGGAUAACAGUGGGAAACCAUUGCUAAUACCCAAUGAGCCGAGAGGUAAAAAAUUUAUUGCCUGAAGAGGAGCUCGCGUCCGAUUAGUUAGUUGGUGGGGUAAAGGCUUACCAAGACGGCGAUCGGUAGCUGGUCUGAGAGGAUGAGCAGCCACACUGGGACUGAGACACGGCCCAGACUCCUACGGGAGGCAGCAGUGGGGAAUUUUCCGCAAUGGGCGAAAGCCUGACGGAGCAAUACCGCGUGAGGGAGGAAGGCCUUUGGGUUGUAAACCUCUUUUCUUAAGGAAGAAGAUCUGACGGUACUUAAGGAAUCAGCAUCGGCUAACUCCGUGCCAGCAGCCGCGGUAAUACGGAGGAUGCAAGCGUUAUCCGGAAUUAUUGGGCGUAAAGCGUCCGCAGGCGGCACUAUAAGUCUGCUGUCAAAGACCGCAGCUCAACUGCGGAAAGGCAGUGGAAACUGUAGAGCUAGAGUACGGUAGGGGUAGAGGGAAUUCCCAGUGUAGCGGUGAAAUGCGUAGAGAUUGGGAAGAACACCAGUGGCGAAAGCGCUCUACUGGGCCGUAACUGACGCUCAGGGACGAAAGCUAGGGGAGCGAAAGGGAUUAGAUACCCCUGUAGUCCUAGCUGUAAACGAUGGAUACUAGGCGUAGCUUGUAUCGACCCGAGCUGUGCCGAAGCUAACGCGUUAAGUAUCCCGC
Molecule: ribosomal RNA, 826 nt
Filed under: uncultured bacterium
Lineage: Bacteria
Description: bacterial SSU rRNA
Rfam family: Bacterial small subunit ribosomal RNA
Source: RNAcentral